GAUUGGUUACCUUGUUACGACUUCACCCCAGUCGCUAAACCCACUGUGGUCGCCUGCCUCCCUUGCGGGUUAGCUCAACGCCUUCGAGUGAAUCCAACUCCCAUGGUGUGACGGGCGGUGUGUACAAGACCCGGGAACGUAUUCACCGCGGCAAGCUUGAUCCGCGAUUACUUAGCGAUUCCGACUUCACGCAGUCGAGUUGCAGACUACGAUCCGGACUACGACCGGUUCUCUGGGAUUGGCUCCCCCUCGCGGGUUGGCAGCCCUCUGUACCGGCCAUUGUAUGACGUGUGUAGCCCUACCCAUAAGGGCCAUGAGGACCUGACGUCAUCCCCACCUUCCUCCGGUUUGUCACCGGCAGUCUCAUUAGAGUGCCCUUUCGUAGCAACUAAUGACAAGGGUUGCGCUCG
Molecule: ribosomal RNA, 410 nt
Filed under: uncultured bacterium
Lineage: Bacteria
Description: partial 16S ribosomal RNA
Source: RNAcentral